GAUGAACGCUGGCGGCGUGCCUAAUACAUGCAAGUCGAGCGAACAGACGAGGAGCUUGCUCCACUGACGUUAGCGGCGGACGGGUGAGUAACACGUGGAUAACCUACCUAUAAGACUGGGCUAACUUCGGGAAACCGGAGCUAAAACCGGAUAAUAUAUUGAACCGCAUGGUUCAAUAGUGAAAGACGGUUUUGCUGUCACUUCUAGAUGGAUCCGCGCUGCAUUAGCUAGUUGGUAAGGUAACGGCUUACCAAGGCGACGAUGCGUAGCCGACCUGGGAGGGGGUUCGGCCACACUGGAACUGAGACACGGUCCAGACUCCUAGGGGAGGCAGCAGUAGGGAAUCUUCCGCGAUGGGCGAAAGCCUGACGGAUCAGCGCCGCGUGAAUGAUGAAGGUCUUCGGAUCGUAAAACUCUGUUAUUAUGGAAGAACACAUGUGUAAGUAACGAUGCUCGUCGUGACGGUACCUAAUCAGAAAGCCACGGCUAACUACGUG
Molecule: ribosomal RNA, 497 nt
Filed under: uncultured bacterium
Lineage: Bacteria
Description: partial 16S ribosomal RNA
Rfam family: Bacterial small subunit ribosomal RNA
Source: RNAcentral